This 1180-nucleotide long non-coding RNA is filed under the name Monodelphis domestica (gray short-tailed opossum). RNAcentral's name for it is "lncRNA (ENSMODG00000040069.1)". Lineage: Eukaryota; Metazoa; Chordata; Mammalia; Didelphimorphia; Didelphidae. The record is from RNAcentral.
GGCCGCCGCGAUGGCAGCCAGGCCAAAGAGGAUUAAGUUCUCCGAGGAAGAGAAGAUUGUGAUCCUGGAAGAGUUCAGUCUGCGGAAGGACAUCCUCAUCCCCAAGAGCGGCCGCUACCGCAACACCAUGGACCGCCAGCGGGCCUGGGAGGAGAUCACGAUGGCCGUGAACUCGCUGAACCCCCUGGUGCAGCGGACGCCGGACGAAGUCCGCAAGAAAUGGAAGAACAUGAUCAUUGAUGCCCGCAAGGAGCUGGCCACUGCCAAGCACCCUGUGCUGCGGCGGCGCCCCCAGGAGCGCCUCUUCUAUAACAUCUUUGCUCUCUUCAACAAGACGGGUGCCGAGCUCCCCGAGCCUCUGUAUGCAGCAGGCCCGGGCUUUCGGACUAAGGGGCCCCCCAGCCCACCGGGGCCUGCCUGCAAGGCAGACAGCUUUCUGGACCCUGUCCCCAGCUUGCUACUCCGGCCUCAGGGGGGUGGGAUGGAGCCUGGCCAGGAGAGGGAGGGACUCUGUCAGAUGGAUGCGGACAGAAAACUAGAUGCGUGGCCUGAGGUCUCCAGGAAGGGCCUCCUGCCAGCCUCCGUGGAUGAGCAGGCCCCGUUCAAGGAGGACUCUCUGACUGAAGAUGCCUCCGACUUUGGAGAAAAGAGGCUGCUGGACCCCCUGAAGGACUUGCCCCUGCCCUGUGAGCCUGUGUCUCAGGUGCAUCCCGCCUCGGCCGACGGGGCUGUGUCCCCAGAGGGUCCAUCCGGGGACAUGCCCCACCUGUGCGCCAUGCCCGUGCCGACGAGCCUGUCCCCAGACCCGACUCUGACGUAUAAGAUUAAAUGCCCUGUGAGCCCUUUGCUAGACUGGCCCUGUUUGGGAGUGAGUUCAAGCCCAGUCACACCCAGCGGCCGGAUGGACGCUCUGAGUACUGAAGGAAUCCAGCCAGCCGUGGACAACAACGUGGGCGCCUCAGUGGUGACUGUGGAGGAGGGCUUGCUGCCAGGCCCCCAGCCCAGCGAGGGGGGGCUUCCAGAGAAGGAUCCCGGGGAACUAGCCAAGCAGAGCCGCCUCCAGACCGAGAUCCUGGAGUUGCAAAAGGAGACACUGCAGCUGCAGAAGGAGAAGAUCCUCCUGGAGAAGGAGAAACUGGUCCUGGAGAUUGUCAAGUUGCGGAGGGAGCUGGGCACCUGA